UGAGUAACCUGCCCUUAACUCUGGGAUAAGCCUGGGAAACUGGGUCUAAUACCGGAUAUGACUCCUCAUCGCAUGGUGGGGGUGGAAAGCUUUAUUGUGGUUUUGGAUGGACUCGCGGCCUAUCAGCUUGUUGGUGAGGUAAUGGCUCACCAAGGCGACGACGGGUAGCCGGCCUGAGAGGGUGACCGGCCACACUGGGACUGAGACACGGCCCAGACUCCUACGGGAGGCAG
This 233-nucleotide ribosomal RNA is filed under the name uncultured bacterium. RNAcentral describes it as "partial 16S ribosomal RNA". It matches the Rfam family "Bacterial small subunit ribosomal RNA", at positions 118 to 351 of the family's 1533-position model. The record is from RNAcentral.